Carassius gibelio (silver crucian carp) is the source of this 539-nucleotide long non-coding RNA. RefSeq lists it as uncharacterized. NCBI's taxonomy places the organism in Eukaryota, Metazoa, Chordata, Actinopteri, Cypriniformes, Cyprinidae. The transcript has 2 exons. The record is from RefSeq and is a predicted model, not a curated record.
UUUAGAUCACUUAUCUCUUUCCCUCCUCCUCCCCUCGCUUCGCAACAUCUCGGAUCUCCCCCCACCUCCCCUUCUUGAGCACUUGAGGAGGAAGAAGGGCUAUUUUUCAGGGACCUGCGGAAUCCGGUGCGACACUGGACACUGGAUCCUGGAUGAGGUCAAGGUCGCAGCCCUCAUACGCAAGAUUGUUGCCAUUUUCCUGUGGUUUAGCACAGGAAGGGAGGGAUGCUGGCCCAGACCCCGGAAGAGAGGUGUUCUGCAGACCAGGCCUCAGGAACAUCCACCUUGAGAACUGAUGUCACUGACGGAGUUUUGGUCCUCUUAGUUAAUUAAGGACAGAAUUUAAGAGGUUUGUCAACUGAGUAUCAAAUCAGUCACUAGCCUAAACAAAUUCCUGUAAUAUUAAACGUAUUAACCGACUAUAUAUGUUUGAAUAUGUCACAGUUGUUUGUUUGUAUGUAGGAUACAUUUGUAAGUGGAUUUUUAUUCAAUUCACUAAGUCAAAUAAAAUGUAUUGAGGCACCAUUGCCUCAUUGUCA